This 903-nucleotide long non-coding RNA is filed under the name Citrus x clementina. Its description in RNAcentral is "Citrus clementina (C. clementina) long non-coding RNA (CCLE_LNC002365)". Lineage: Eukaryota; Viridiplantae; Streptophyta; Magnoliopsida; Sapindales; Rutaceae. The record is from RNAcentral.
AAUUAAAUUUUUUUUAUCUAAGCCCUCUAAUCAAACUGGUUGGGUUGCCACUGAUGGGAGAUGUCUUAGUACAUCUCCUUGCUCCUCAUUUCUUUCGCCCAUUGAAACAAUAAAAAAAUAAAAAAAUAAAAUUAAUGAAUAAAGAAAUGGGUGCGUGCAGAUUGAAAUCCUAACCUUAUCUCCAGCCAGGCUUUUCUCUUCCACUCUCAUCUCUCUCUUCACGCAAAUCACCAUCAUUAUUCACGGCAGCAAUUGCUCACGGCUUAUCUCCAACCAGGCUUUCCUCUUUCACUCUCCUCUCUCCUCACGCAAAUCACCAUCAUCAUUCACAGCAGCAACUGCUCACGGCACGCACCAUCAUCGUUCAUGGCAAAGCACUCCUCACGGUAAAGCACUCAUCCACUUGUCUCUCCUCACGAAAACUCACCAUCAUCGUUCACGGCAAGCAACACUGUUUCCCCCUCUCUCUGGGCUCCCUUGGCAAACAUUAAGUAAGCAAAAUGGUGCCUUUUUUCAACUUGUUCUUUUUCUUUUUACUUUUCUUACAUUUUCUCGGCAAACAAUAAAUAAAUGGAAUUUAAGCAAUGCAAGAUAUGAUAAGCUUCUGUGAUUUUGUGUAAUAAGCUUCUCGAAUUUUUUUUUUUACAUUUCUUUUGCAGGUUCGAAACUAAUUGAAAAACAAAUUGAUGUUCGAAUUUAUGUUUUGACAUUUCUAUGAAAUAUUUGGUUUUUGUGCAGAAUUUAAAAAGCUGGUUUAAUUUGUGUGAAAAUUGAUGAAUUUUGGUUUAGUGUGAUGUAAAAUUGCUGGGAAUUUGGGAAAGUUAGUUUCAAUUAUGGCUUCUUGUAAUUUUGAAUUUAGAUGUGUGCUUCUGGAGUUAUUGCAGUUUAUGUUGUGACCUUAAA